UGUGUUCUCUCUUGGUUUGCUUGCUCAACCAUCUACAAUGUACGAUAUUCAUAGCGAAUUAAGUGUGAAAGGUCGAUCUACCUCUUUUCAUUUCUCUCGAUUUUCGAGAUAACUUUGGAAGCUAAUCGACGACCUCAAUUAACAAUAACUUUCCGUGAAUGGUAUGUGUGACUGUGUGUAUGUAUAUGUGUGUAUAUGUAAGAUUCACUACUAGUGUACCGACUAUAAUUUCAUCGUCGUAUAAUCUUCUCUUGCACGUCCAUCUUAAAACAUCGUCUACGAUAUUUCUUUACUCUUAAUUUCUUAGUCUCGCGAUAAAAUCUACAUUCGUGGUUUCUCACCUCUUCGACGUAGUGCGAACAUUCCCGAGCCUGUUUCGAGAGCCUGGAUUUAUUUUGAACAAAAAAGGAAGAAAAAAACGAAGAAAGAAGAAUACACUCUACUCUUUAUACACAAUUUUUCUUCCUGUUUUCUCGCUAUCGUCGUCGUCGUCGUCUUUCUCGUCCAUUCUUUUGUCCCUGGUUUCUUUUUCUUUUUUUUUUUUUAACAAAAGAUUUAUCAACAAAGAACGCGUCCCGCUCCUUUUAUUCCCCUACUCCCGAAGAAACUUAUCGACCAACGGUCGACUGGUCCGAUCUGGUGAAAGAAAAGAGGAAGGGUCGGGCGAGAUUUUGGAGCUGGAAUUGAAAGGGCGGUUCGGCUCGGCGACCGCGUAGUUGCGAUCGAACGCGAGGAAACAAAGAGAAGAGGAAGGCGCGACAGAGGGCGAAGGGAGAGGAAGGAGCGUGGCCAAAGGGCGAGAGAAAGGACCGCGAUCAGAGUUGGGAAAGAAGAACGUCGGGAGGAACGAAGCUGUGGGCCACCCCAAAGGUUUUCUCUCUCUCUGAUCCCGCGCACUUAGUUGAACGAGCUAAUGGAAAAUCCCGUGCACACGACCGAACCUGAAGCUGGGAGGAUCGAGCACUCUCGCUCCGAUGACUGAUGACGAGCACGACGACAGGCGACGGCCGAUGGGCGACAGGCGACGGGCGACGCGCGGCUACGAUUACCAACCGAGUGCAAUGCACACACCUCGACGAACGCCGACGUACCAACCGACGACGGACCAACGAACGAACCAACGAACUAUCCAGUCACCGAGUACGCGACCAAGAAAGCUCACCUGCUAGAGAGGUGGUUGGCUGAAGGUUCUCGCGGUGACUGCACCCAGGGUUCGGCGGAAAAGGGUGUGAAGCGGAGAGACGGAGAAGGGAUGGAGGAUGGAAGAUCGGCGAGAGAAAGAGGAAGUUGAUGCUGACGAGAGAGGAGAGGGGGCAAGGGACAGACACGGAGGAUGGGGAUAGAGAAAGGGGGAAGGAGAGUAGGACGAAGACAAGCGUGUAGGAUUCGUAAAUCGCGUAGAACGUGGAAUCGGGAAGAAGGGAGGAAGAGGAAUGGAAGAGCGGAUGAUAAAGAUGGUAAGGUAGACACCGAAAGGGAGUCUACCUUACGAUAGCGGGUGUAAACACAAGCGUCGAGGGUUAAUCCGAGAGGAACGGGAGCAGAGCGAGAGAUGGACGG
Molecule: unclassified non-coding RNA, 1560 nt
Filed under: Bombus terrestris (buff-tailed bumblebee)
Lineage: Eukaryota; Metazoa; Arthropoda; Insecta; Hymenoptera; Apidae
Description: misc RNA ENSBTSG00005023178.1
Source: RNAcentral